AACGCGAAGAACCUUACCCCGCGCGGGUUGAAAUGCAGACGAAUAACGUGGAAACAUGUUAGCUAGCAAUAGCGUCUGUGUAGGUGCUGCAUGGUUGUCGUCACCACGUGCCAAAAGGUGUCGACUUAAGUGCCAUAACGAGCGCAACCCACAUUAUUAGUUACUAACAGGUCGAGCUGAGGACUCUAAUAAGACUGCCGGCGCAAGCUGUGAGGAAGGUGUGGAUGACGUCAAAUCAGCACGGCCCUUACGUCCGGGGCGACACACGUGUUACAAUGGGUGGUACAAAGGGCAGCUACUGUGCGGGCAGAUGCUAAUCUCCAAAGCCACUCCCAGUUUGGAUCGGAGUCUGCAACUCGACUCCGUGAAGCCAGAUUCGCUAGUAAUCGCGCAUCAGCCAUGGCGCGGUGAAUACGUCCCCGGGUCUUGUACACACCG
Molecule: ribosomal RNA, 438 nt
Filed under: uncultured bacterium
Lineage: Bacteria
Description: bacterial SSU rRNA
Rfam family: Bacterial small subunit ribosomal RNA
Source: RNAcentral